CCCACUGCUCCACUUCACUGCACCCAGAAGCCUGGGGGGUCCGGAACAGUCUGAGAUUUGGGCAGACUGUGCUGGGCACUCACCACAGGCUGAGGUGCCUCAGGAAGCUGCGAUGCCUCCCUGCUUGCAGAAGUAUUCAGUCCUUCAGACAAAGGAACGGGCUUCUGCAGGGACUCCGGAUCCGCCCAGCUCCUCCUCUGCAGGAGAUGUGAGCAGAGAUUUUCACAGUGAAAGAUCCACAAGAUAUACACAGCAUUGGUGGCAGAAACAACCAAUGCUGAGGACAGCCUUAGAAGAUGGCUCCACAAACCUAGGCCCAGAGACCUGCCAAUCAGCCAGAAAACUGGUUUCCAGCUCUCCCAAGAGACCAAGAGAAAAGAUGAAUGGUCCAGUGAAACAACAUUCAAGCAAUGAUCCAUGAGGCUAGAAUGUAGUCACCAGAAGGGGGACUCCACCAACCCCUGAAAAUCUUUUGGUUGCCUUAAUGGCCCUGCUUGCAGUAUCUGUAUAUAUGGCACCUGUACCAAGACUGAAGUGAUGAAUUUAUGUCCCUAAUCCACUACUACUUAGACCCAUUACUUGGGAAGAUUCUCCACCUGAGAUUUAUCAUGAACUAAACUUGGCUUCCUACAUUGUGCAUUAUAAGGCCACUUGUUUCUGCAUAAUUCCCUUGCCUUAGAACAAAUCUAUGCAUUCUUGGGAGGAUAUAAAGAAACAUAUACAAGAAGCUAUCCAUCAAAAUAUUAUUAUGGACAUUGAUGCACUCCAGAAGGAGGUUUUGUCAAUAUCUCAACAAACCCAAAAAUUUGAUGAACAAAUUCAAGAUUGGGACAAAUUUUCUGAUGCUUUACAUAAUUAAAUCCAUUCAACUAUCUCAAGGCA
Cavia porcellus (domestic guinea pig) is the source of this 882-nucleotide long non-coding RNA. RefSeq lists it as uncharacterized. Lineage: Eukaryota; Metazoa; Chordata; Mammalia; Rodentia; Caviidae. The record is from RefSeq and is a predicted model, not a curated record. The transcript is spliced from 2 exons.